RNAcentral lists this ribosomal RNA (499 nucleotides) under uncultured bacterium. Its description in RNAcentral is "bacterial SSU rRNA". It matches the Rfam family "Bacterial small subunit ribosomal RNA", at positions 23 to 518 of the family's 1533-position model. The record is from RNAcentral.
CUCAGGAUGAACGCUAGCGGCAGGCUAACACAUGCAAGUCGAGGGGCAUCGGGAGUAGCAAUACUGCCGGCGACCGGCGCAAGGGUGCGUAACGCGUGAGCAACAUGCCCGUAUCAGGGGGGAUAAUCCAUGGAAACGUGGUCUAAUACCCCAUAGUAAUUAUGUAAGGCAUCUUAUAUAAUUUAAAGCUUUGGUGGAUACGGAUUGGCUCGCGUGACAUUAGCUGGAUGGUAAGGUAACGGCUUACCAUGGCUACGAUGUCUAGGGGUUCUGAGAGGAAGGUCCCCCACACUGGAACUGAGACACGGUCCAGACUCCUACGGGAGGCAGCAGUGAGGAAUAUUGGACAAUGGAUGGAAAUCUGAUCCAGCCAUGCCGCGUGCAGGAAGACGGCCCUAUGGGUUGUAAACUGCUUUUGUAUGGGAGCAAUAAGGGCUACGUGUAGUCCGAUGAGAGUACCAUACGAAUAAGCACCGGCUAACUCCGUGCCAGCAGCCGC